This 75-nucleotide transfer RNA is filed under the name Parvibaculum sedimenti. Its description in RNAcentral is "Parvibaculum sp. HXT-9 tRNA-Gly". It matches the Rfam family "tRNA". Rfam says of the family: Transfer RNA (tRNA) molecules are approximately 80 nucleotides in length. The record is from RNAcentral. Lineage: Bacteria; Pseudomonadati; Pseudomonadota; Alphaproteobacteria; Hyphomicrobiales; Parvibaculaceae.
GCGGCUGUAGCUCAGAGGUAGAGCAUCUGGCUUCCAUCCAGAGGGUCGAGGGUUCGAAUCCCUCCAGCCGCUCCA